AUGGAUCCAACGACGACGAUGGCCCGGCCGAGCAAGAAGUCGCGGCAGUCCGGCUCUGGCCUGGCGGAGCUCGCCGCCCACCUCACCAAGCGCCUCGCCGACGCUAACCCCAGCUCCAACCUCGUCUUCUCUCCGCUGUCCAUCUACGCCGCCGUCGCGCUCCUGGCUCCGGGCGCCCGGGGGGCCACCCUGGACGAGGUCCUCCGCCUCCUCGGCGCGCGCUCCCGCGAAGAGCUCGAGGAAUCCAUCUCCCGCGUGGCGAACGACGCGCUCCAGGACCUGUCCGGAUCCGGCGGCCCGAGCGUCGCGUUCGCAUGCGGCAUGUGGAACGACGAAAGGCGGCCCCUGAAGCCGGCUUACCGCGAGGCCGUCGUCGGCACGUACAGAGCGGAGGCGCGCAGCCUGGAUUUCCGGGAGAACUCGGCGGAAGCGGCGCGUCACAUCAACGCCUGGGUCGCGGAGGUCACGAGAAACCUCAUCGACGACGUCGUCUCACCGAGCGACGUUGGCAUGGCGACCGACGUCGUGCUCGCCAACGCCAUAUACUUCAAAGGCAAGUGGAACCUGCCGUUCCGCGAGACGGCCACCAGGGACAGGCCGUUCCACCGGCUCGAGGGAACCGCCGUCGACGCGCCCUUCAUGUACAACCCCGCCCGCCAAUUUAUUGCCGUGCAUGACGGGUUCAAGGUGCUCAAGCUGCAGUACAAGAUGCGGCAGCGAGGAUAUCAACCCACACAGUACUCUAUGUGCAUCUUCCUGCCAGACGCCUACGACGGCCUGCGGAGCCUCGUCGACGAGAUAACCUCCCGUCCGGGCUUCGUGCACGAUCACCUGCCGGUGAUGCCCGUCAAGGUCGGCGACUUCGGGGUUCCCAAGUUCAAACUCAAUUUCUCGAGCAGAAUGGCCGAAAUCCUCAAACAGCUGGGCCUCGUUCUGCCGUUCGGCCAGGGUUCUGAUCUGUUGGACAUGGUGGAGGACGACGGCACCGGCUCCCCUUUGCUCGGUCAAGAGGUCAUCCAUAAGGCUGUCAUCGAGGUCAACGAGGAAGGGACGGAAGCAGCCGCUCUCACCAUGCCGUUCCUGCCUCCUGGAUGUUCUCGUGUGAUGAUGUCGGAGCCCAUGGUGGAUUUCGUCGCCGACCAUCCCUUCGCGUAUUUCAUAGUCGAGGAGGCCUCCGGCGCGAUCCUCUUUGCAGGGCAUGUCGUCUACCCA
Molecule: ribosomal RNA, 1212 nt
Filed under: Triticum aestivum (bread wheat)
Lineage: Eukaryota; Viridiplantae; Streptophyta; Magnoliopsida; Poales; Poaceae
Description: partial small subunit ribosomal RNA
Source: RNAcentral